GUCACUUGGAGAUCUUGUUAAAAUGCUGAUUCUGAUUCAGUAGAUCUGUAGUGGAGCUGGGAUUGAUUCUGCAUUUCUAACAAGUUUCUAGGUGGUGCCAU
This is a non-coding RNA of Pongo abelii (Sumatran orangutan), 101 nucleotides long. NCBI's taxonomy places the organism in Eukaryota, Metazoa, Chordata, Mammalia, Primates, Hominidae. The record is from Rfam.